Molecule: ribosomal RNA, 441 nt
Filed under: uncultured marine crenarchaeote
Lineage: Archaea; Thermoproteati; Thermoproteota
Description: bacterial SSU rRNA
Rfam family: Archaeal small subunit ribosomal RNA
Source: RNAcentral
UUUUUCCGGUUGUCCUGCCGGACCUGACUGCUAUCAGAUUGAUACUAAGCCAUGUUAGUCAUUGUAGUAAUACAAGGCAGACGGCUCAGUAACACGUAGUCAACCUAACUUAUGGACGGGGAUAACCUCGGGAAACUGAGAAUAAUACCCGAUAGGUCAUGAUGCCUGGAAUGGUUUAUGACUCAAAUGAAUGUCGCCGUAGGAUGGGACUGCGAGCUAUCAGCUUGUUGGUGAGGUAAUGGCCCACCAAGGCUAUAACAGCUACGGGCUCUGAGAGGAGUAGCCCGGAGAUGGGUACUGAGACAAGGACCCAGGCCCUAUGGGGCGCAGCAGGCGAGAAAACUUUGCAAUGCGCGAAAGCUCGACAAGGUUAAUCUGAGUAGUUCCUGCUAAAGGAACCUUUUGUUAGUCGUAGGAACCACUGCAUGAAUAAAGGGGUGG